GGGGAUGUGGCUCAAGUGGUAGUGCGCGCGCCUAGCGUGCGUGAGGCGCUGGGUUCAGUUCUCAGCACCACA
RNAcentral lists this transfer RNA (72 nucleotides) under Marmota monax (woodchuck). RNAcentral describes it as "tRNA.Ala". The record is from RNAcentral. Lineage: Eukaryota; Metazoa; Chordata; Mammalia; Rodentia; Sciuridae.